Apis dorsata (giant honeybee) is the source of this 433-nucleotide long non-coding RNA. RefSeq lists it as uncharacterized. The record is from RefSeq and is a predicted model, not a curated record. NCBI's taxonomy places the organism in Eukaryota, Metazoa, Arthropoda, Insecta, Hymenoptera, Apidae. The transcript is spliced from 2 exons.
UUUAAUUAGGCUAUACACGAAUGACUACUAAUUGUAAGCAAUUCGUUUACAAUUAUAGAUCCAAACAUAAAUUUGUCAUUGAAAUAUCGAAAUCGUGCAUUACUUUUUUCUUUUCUGUUAUUUGAGUGGUUUUCAUAAAAAUUAAAAUCUUAUUAAUGAAUUUUUCAUUAAUCGUAACAUAUGACAAUGUAAUAUGAAUAUUCAUAUGAAGAAUUUACAAUAUUAAUCUCAGGAACCGAGGAAAAGGGUCAUAAGAAAGUUCGGAAAAAACGGAAGUUCAUCAAAUGUUCCAAGAAUCGCUUGAAUCAUUGUAAACAGAUACCAUUAAAAUAUAUUCAUAAUGUGAGUCCAUGGAUCCAUCCAUUAAAAAGAAGUUCACUUCGCAUGAAAUAAUUGUCUUUCAUUUGAAACAAACGUUAUUCAAAUGUUUUUA